RNAcentral lists this ribosomal RNA (468 nucleotides) under uncultured bacterium. Its description in RNAcentral is "partial 16S ribosomal RNA". It matches the Rfam family "Bacterial small subunit ribosomal RNA", at positions 28 to 507 of the family's 1533-position model. The record is from RNAcentral.
GACGAACGCUGGCGGCGUGCUUAACACAUGCAAGUCGAACGGAAAGGCCCUGCUUUUGUGGGGUGCUCGAGUGGCGAACGGGUGAGUAACACGUGAGUAACCUGCCCUUGACUUUGGGAUAACUUCAGGAAACUGGGGCUAAUACCGGAUAGGAGCUCCUGCUGCAUGGUGGGGGUUGGAAAGAUUCGGCGGUUGGGGAUGGACUCGCGGCUUAUCAGCUUGUUGGUGGGGUAGUGGCUUACCAAGGCUUUGACGGGUAGCCGGCCUGAGAGGGUGACCGGCCACCUUGGGACUGAGAUACGGCCCAGACUCCUACGGGAGGCAGCAGUGGGGAAUAUUGCACAAUGGGCGGAAGCCUGAUGCAGCAACGCCGCGUGCGGGAUGACGGCCUUCGGGUUGUAAACCGCUUUCGCCUGUGACGAAGCGUGAGUGACGGUAAUGGGUAAAGAAGCACCGGCUAACUACGUG